Molecule: transfer RNA, 73 nt
Filed under: Bos taurus (domestic cattle)
Lineage: Eukaryota; Metazoa; Chordata; Mammalia; Artiodactyla; Bovidae
Also listed under: 3 other names
Rfam family: tRNA
About the family: Transfer RNA (tRNA) molecules are approximately 80 nucleotides in length.
Source: Rfam by way of RNAcentral
UUCCUGAUGAUCCAGUGGUUAAGACAUUGCACUUCUACUGCAGUGGGCACAGGUUUGAGCCCUGGUCAGAUAA